This 607-nucleotide ribosomal RNA is filed under the name uncultured bacterium. Its description in RNAcentral is "bacterial SSU rRNA". It matches the Rfam family "Bacterial small subunit ribosomal RNA", at positions 8 to 651 of the family's 1533-position model. The record is from RNAcentral.
AGAGUUUGAUCCUGGCUCAGAACGAACGCUGGCGGCAGGCCUAACACAUGCAAGUCGAACGAGAAGCCACCUUCGGGUGGUGGACAGUGGCAGACGGGUGAGUAACGCGUGGGAACGUGCCUUUCGGUUCGGGAUAACCCAGGGAAACUUGGGCUAAUACCGGAUACGCCCUUCGGGGGAAAGAUUCAUUGCCGAAAGAUCGGCCCGCGUCGGAUUAGCUAGUUGGUGGGGUAAAAGCCUACCAAGGCGACGAUCCGUAGCUGGUCUGAGAGGAUGACCAGCCACACUGGGACUGAGACACGGCCCAGACUCCUACGGGAGGCAGCAGUGGGGAAUAUUGGACAAUGGGCGCAAGCCUGAUCCAGCCAUGCCGCGUGGGUGAAGAAGGCCUUAGGGUUGUAAACCCCUUUCAGUGGGGACGAUAAUGACGGUACCCGCAGAAGAAGUCCCGGCUAACUCCGUGCCAGCAGCCGCGGUAAUACGGAGGGGACUAGCGUUGUUCGGAAUUACUGGGCGUAAAGCGCACGUAGGCGGAUUUGUUAGUCAGGGGUGAAAUCCCGAGGCUCAACCUCGGAACUGCCUUUGAUACUGCAAAUCUCGAGUCCGG